UGCAAUGUGUGUGUGUACAUGGAAGAGGGGUAACAUUAGUCCAUCAUUUUGUAAAGCCCUUAAUAUAACUUUAUUUUUUACAAAAUUAUACUUUAGAUAAAGACCCUCCCAUCAUCAAAACAUUUUUUUUAAUGCAGGUAGGAGAACAUGACUGUUUUUGAUACUACUGACUAUAUUUGGUUUAAAUACUAGUAAGACUUGCUUUUCCGCUUAGCUUUAGAUUCCGCUUAAGGAAAUGGUGAAAGAUUUAAUUCACUGUACUUUUGUUAAGAAAGUAUGGAAAUGUUUGUCCAUGGGAACUUUGGUCUCCUGCUAGAAUGGAAAUUCAUUGGGGAGGGGGAACCGUUUCAUUUUAUUGCCUAAGAGCUGUUGAUACACUCCCUGCAUCUUUCAAAGGCAUCUUUCAUGCCAGACAAGCAAACUGUAGCUUGUGAAGGAACAGAAAGAGCACCUCUUACAGGAGUCAAUCUCGGCAAACAAGCAGAGCAGCUGUGCUAGGUGGCGAUGAGAUUACCACGGGACCCAGUCGCAGGGUUUUGUGUGGUCUAAGAGACAACUGGCUCUUCUCUCAGGGGGCCACUUGGAGGGAGAUGGCAGCAGUCACGCGUCCCCACUGCUGCCGGUGGAUAUUGUGGCCAUUUAGGACAAAAUCAGUACCAGAUUAAAUCAGAAAGUAAUAAAACGCAAGAAGACUCUCCGAGCUUUUAAAUCUUAAUGUGAGAAAUGAAAACAAAUGUCCUGGGCGUGUGUUGCUUGUUGCGUUCAAUCGUGAGGAAAAGGAAACAGAGAAAGGGUGCCUUCAACUUAGAAAACUUGCAGGGCGGUCAGUCUUUUCAUUUGAGAGCCAUUUGGGUGUGUUGUGAAAUAAAGUUGCAGAGUAGGCAUGUUCAGACCUUUUUUUUUUUGCUACAUUUAGUAGGAAAGAUUCUUCCCUCCCCGCCCCUGAACUACAAGAAGCCAGAGUUUUCUGUGCAAACAGGCAUUGCAAGAAUCAGAUUCACUUUGGACGACUCUUCACAUUCCAAGUCAUCAUUGCAUUAGGCAGCACAAUUCCAUCUCUGGUUGAUGGGCAGAAAAAGUGGGCAGCUUGCCAGGUAGACGUUUCCAUGACUCCCAGCCCCCAAAGGUGAUGCGUUUUUUUUUUUCCAGCUAAUUCAAUGAAGAGUGGGCUGAACUUUGGGUCUAAACGAGACAAUAGCUGCCUUCGCAGUAUCAGCAGAAUGGUUGAUGGGAACGCACUCUACAUUUGGCAGAGAACCAUGUGACCUGACGACUGAGAUUUUGUGAUGGUGCCAACGGAGACUUGGAUAGCAGCAACCGUCCUGACUUUUUUCUUCUUUUCUAGCCCGGCUCAGAAAAUGGUGGAUCUUAAUACUUGACUUUAGCCAGUCUCAGCAAGCGACUGAGCUUUGAAGCACAACUUCGCCUUUAUUCUGGGUUUUUGGCAGGCCACCAGGAGGCUGUCCCUUUCACGCCUGAUAAAUUCUGCUGCUUAUCUCUAAAUAGGAAAAGGGAAAAAAGGGGGGGGGAAAUAUAAACAGAAUAUGGAGGCAUAACAAGUGAAUCCUAAAAUUGUGUGUUGUGCAUUUCGGUUUUUUGCCUUUUCUUACUGCUGAUUUUUUUUUUUUUUAAUGUUCGUAUCAUUUCUGCUUGCUGAAGAAUCCAAGGAGUUGUUUUUUUUGUUUGUUUUUUGGUUUUCUUUGUGAGGUUUUUUGGGGUUUUUUUUUUUUGGUUUAUAAUGAACAGGCAUUUGAACUGGGCAAACAGGACGACAGCAGCAGUGAUCAUGAGAUCAUUGCAGCAAUGUAGCAAACUGGCACCCUGCCUUCUCACCCUUUUGGUUCAGGAGACCAACGUGUGCAAUCCUCAUUUCUGAAGUCAGCACAGCCUGGAAGGAUUCCUGGUCUCUCCCACCUUCGACCACUGCGCUGCCAGGGCCGGCAAGGAUUGGUGCAGCUCCUGCGCAGUGCUUUGUGCCUGGAAUACCGAGAAGGAAGAAAAAGAAGACGAGCACCCUCGUCCUUUUUGCAAGAAAUCACAGGAGCCCUGAAGAAAUGCAAAAAAAGAAACCUGAGUGUGUCCCACUCCAUGCAACAGUGAUGAAAAAAAUGAGACUUCCCUGCUCAAAAACAAAAACAAACAAAAAUCCAAACCAAAACAAACUAAAAAAAAAAAAAAAAAAGCAAACAUUGGCUUGUAUAACUCCAGAGGCAUCGAGCUUGGUAAAGCAGCUUUGUAAGGCUUCAUGAGCAAAUGAGCCUUCUUUUCCUUUAUUAUUUCAAAAAUAAGGCCUAAUUAGCAAUGUGUUCCACUUGGUGAAAUCGCACCUUUCAUAUCAGGGACAAACUUAAAAUGGAUAUGAGAAGUGAAGAAAGUGAUCAUAGGAGAAAAUCAUCUCAGAUCAACCACUGCAGAAGAACCAGAUUCCACUUCUGUGGCCAGGACUUUUAUGUUAUGGCUGGUCCGAUUGUUUUACCCUGCGUUCUCUGCUACUAAACCUUGGAUCAUUCCUAAAGUACAAAUUCUGUUCUCCAACCACAAACAAGGCUAAAAGAUCGGAGGAAAUUCAGUGAAUGUACAGGAUCGGGAUGGUGCAUUUUCCAAAGUAUUGAGCUUUCGAAUGCAACUAUUUAAGAUAGAGAAUCAUUUUUGUUCUUAGGUUGCCAGCCUUUUUAAGUUUCACGUUCAUUAAGUGGCAUUGCUCAAAUAGCUACAGAGUAUGCAUGGGAAUAUUUGGCUGUCUGAAUAGUUUGGAGAUUCAAAGAGAAAACUCGAGCUUCAGAGGUAUUAAAUUAUGACAUGCAAAAAAGUUUUUGUUUUAUUCUUAACUGCAACAGUAUAUAUUUAAAUCAGAUUGAAAGUAUUCUAUAUCCUGGAGCCAACUUAACAGUUGUGCUAUAUAAAAGGCUAAUGGGAAGCCAAAUUUCA
Molecule: long non-coding RNA, 2928 nt
Organism: Myotis davidii
Lineage: Eukaryota; Metazoa; Chordata; Mammalia; Chiroptera; Vespertilionidae
Exons: 3
Source: RefSeq, a predicted model, not a curated record